Molecule: long non-coding RNA, 202 nt
Filed under: Anas platyrhynchos platyrhynchos (common mallard)
Lineage: Eukaryota; Metazoa; Chordata; Aves; Anseriformes; Anatidae
Description: lncRNA (ENSAPLG00000020422.1)
Source: RNAcentral
UAUUGGCAACAUGUGCUGGCUUUAUUGUGUUAAUGGCAUGCGAUUCUGCAGAUCUGAACUAACACCAAUCUUUUUUCUCCCUCCAGAUGAAAAAGCCCUGAGCCUACAUUCUGCUUUGCCAGUCGCUGUUUCCUGUCACUCGCAAUGGCCUCUUCCCAGGAGGCACGCCGUGCUUCCCUCACAAGACACAGGCAGGCUGUAA